ACUUUUACUUUGAAAAAAUUAGAGUGCUCUAAGCAGGCCAAUGCUCGAAUACAUUAGCAUGGAAUAAUAAAAUAGGACGCGCGGUUCUAUUUUGUUGGUUUCUAGGACCGCCGUAAUGAUGAAUAGGGACAGUCGGGGGCAUCAGUAUUCAGUUGUCAGAGGUGAAAUUCUUGGAUCUACUGAAGACUAACUACUGCGAAAGCAUUUGCCAAGGAUGUUUUCAUUAAUCAGGAACGAAAGUUAGGGGAUCGAAGACGAUCAGAUACCGUCGUAGUCUUAACCAUAAACUAUGCCGACUAGGGAUCGGACGAUGUUAUUU
RNAcentral lists this ribosomal RNA (319 nucleotides) under uncultured fungus. RNAcentral describes it as "SSU rRNA". It matches the Rfam family "Eukaryotic small subunit ribosomal RNA", at positions 748 to 1068 of the family's 1831-position model. The record is from RNAcentral. Lineage: Eukaryota; Fungi.